AGUGAACGCUGGCGGUAGGCCUAACACAUGCAAGUCGAACGGCAGCACAGUAAGAGCUUGCUCUUACGGGUGGCGAGUGGCGGACGGGUGAGGAAUACAUCGGAAUCUACUUUUUCGUGGGGGAUAACGUAGGGAAACUUACGCUAAUACCGCAUACGACCUACGGGUGAAAGCAGGGGAUCUUCGGACCUUGCGCGAUUGAAUGAGCCGAUGUCGGAUUAGCUAGUUGGCGGGGUAAAGGCCCACCAAGGCGACGAUCCGUAGCUGGUCUGAGAGGAUGAUCAGCCACACUGGAACUGAGACACGGUCCAGACUCCUACGGGAGGCAGCAGUGGGGAAUAUUGGACAAUGGGCGCAAGCCUGAUCCAGCCAUACCGCGUGGGUGAAGAAGGCCUUCGGGUUGUAAAGCCCUUUUGUUGGGAAAGAAAAGCAGCAGGUUAAUACCCCGCUGUUCUGACGGUACCCGAAGAAUAAACACCGGCUAACUUCGU
Molecule: ribosomal RNA, 491 nt
Filed under: uncultured bacterium
Lineage: Bacteria
Description: partial 16S ribosomal RNA
Rfam family: Bacterial small subunit ribosomal RNA
Source: RNAcentral